Molecule: ribosomal RNA, 665 nt
Filed under: uncultured bacterium
Lineage: Bacteria
Description: bacterial SSU rRNA
Rfam family: Bacterial small subunit ribosomal RNA
Source: RNAcentral
GCAUGGAGAUGAUAUGAAAUAUGCUACGGCAUAGGUAGAGGAUGGACUUAUGGCGCAUUAGCUAGUUGGAGGGGUAACGGCCCACCAAGGCGACGAUGCGUAGCCGACCUGAGAGGGUGACCGGCCACACUGGGACUGAGACACGGCCCAGACUCCUACGGGAGGCAGCAGUAGGGAAUUUUCGGCAAUGGGGGAAACCCUGACCGAGCAACGCCGCGUGAAGGAAGAAGUAAUUCGUUAUGUAAACUUCUGUCAUAGAGGAAGAACGGUGCGUGUAGGGAAUGACAUGCAAGUGACGGUACUCUAUAAGAAAGCCACGGCUAACUACGUGCCAGCAGCCGCGGUAAUACGUAGGUGGCGAGCGUUAUCCGGAAUUAUUGGGCGUAAAGAGGGAGCAGGCGGCACUAAGGGUCUGUGGUGAAAGAUCGAAGCUUAACUUCGGUAAGCCAUGGAAACCGUAGAGCUAGAGUGUGUGAGAGGAUCGUGGAAUUCCAUGUGUAGCGGUGAAAUGCGUAGAUAUAUGGAGGAACACCAGUGGCGAAGGCGACGAUCUGGCGCAUAACUGACGCUCAGUCCCGAAAGCGUGGGGAGCAAAUAGGAUUAGAUACCCUAGUAGUCCACGCCGUAAACGAUGAGUACUAAGUGUUGGGAGUCAAAUCUCAGUG